GAUGAACGCUGGCGGCGCGCCUUAUACAUGCAAGUCGAGUGGGUUUAGACCCACGGCAAACGGGUGAGUAGCACGUAGGUACUUUCCUUGUCACAGGAAUAACCCUCCGAAAGGAGGGCUAAUACCUGAUGUGAUCGCAAGAUUAAAGGGUAUCCGCAAGGAUUACCGGACAAGAAGAGGCCUGCGGCCUAUCAGCUAGUUGGCGGGGUAAAUGCCCACCAAGGCUAUGACGGGUAGCUGGUCUUAUGAGGAUGAUCAGUCACAUGGGCACUGAGACACGGGCCCAACUCCUACGGGAGGCAGCAGUAGGGAAUUUUGCGCAAUGGGCGAAAGCCUGACGCAGCGACGCCGCGUGCGGGAUGAAGGCCUUCGGGUCGUAAACCGCUUUUAUAAGGGACGAACUUUGACGGUACCUUAUGAAUAAGAGGUUGCUAACUCUGUG
This 442-nucleotide ribosomal RNA is filed under the name uncultured bacterium. RNAcentral's name for it is "partial 16S ribosomal RNA". It matches the Rfam family "Bacterial small subunit ribosomal RNA", at positions 28 to 507 of the family's 1533-position model. The record is from RNAcentral.